GUUUGGAAAAGCAGACAAUUCUUUGAUAUUUAGAUAAUAGGAGAAGAACCUCAACUAAAGCCCUAAUAUGGCAGCUCAUCACCUUUUGGAAAGGACUGGAUUCUCAGAGAUUGUGUCUGAACAGCACAAGAGUUGACUGGUUCUAUUAAGUGGUUCUCCCUUCCAACUAUCUACAAAACCCUGCCAGCCUCAUGCUGCUGUUCCUUUAUUUCUUUAUGAAAACCUGUCCUCAAGACUCUCCAUUGAUAGAAACUCGGAGUGUUCUCCUUUCCAAGGGCAUUUUUCGUUUAAGGGCUGUCAAAACUCUAAGCAAAAGUGCCUCCAGGCAUUCAUGUGAACAACUCCUGCAUGUAUGAAACAUAUUUUUCAUUUCCAUCUAUCAAAAUCCUCUUCCUUCUUCAAGGCCAGGGUUUCCAAGACUAAAGAAUGCAUCAGUGAUUGUCCAGCUGCUCCAUUCUGUGAGAUUGCUCUUGAGAAAGCAGAGAUUAUAUUUUGCUCAAAUCCUGUUGUGUAUGAGGUUUACAAAGUGCUUCCCCCCCAUAACCAGACAGUGGGAUGACCUCCAUUAACUGAUGUGGAAACUGAGUCACAGAAAAAAGAAGUAAUUUACCAUGGAUCAGAGUAUUAAAUGGCUGGGUAUAUAACAGACCACAGGGUCAUAAGAUCAUAGACAGAGGACUCAGGGGGUCCUAGAAAUUGCACAGCUCAAGCCCCUCAUCUUGUAGGAGAAGGAACUAAAUCCAGAGGAAUUCUUCUUCACCCAAAGUCACACAGCUUUCCAUCUGACAAGAGGAGGGCAGCGGUGUCUCUGUGGAAUUGUCGGAGUGCUACGCAGGCCAGCCAAGCAGGGGCAAAAGAGACUUUGUAAUGGAGCUUAGCACUUCUAGUCCUCGGCCCCCAUCUCUCCAAACACCUGUGGGUGCAGCCACCCAAGGGAGGUAUUCUCUCUCUUUUCUUUCCAUUGAUGCCUUUGGGGAUGCCGCUGCCAAGUCGCUGCCUCCAGGAGGUCCCAUCAUCAAGUCCUUCCCCUGCUCUCUUCAAUUCAAUUGAACAAACAUUUAAGUGCUUGAUAUAUGUGAAGCAUUGUGCUACAUUCUGAGAGGGCAAAGCAACCUCCCCUCACAAAACAGCAACUAGCCUUUGUCCUUACAAAACUUUUAUUUUACUGGGGGGGGGGGAAGUGGAGAACAAUAUGUAAACGGAUAAAUAAAUGCAAGAUAAUUUGAAGGAGAUAGCUCUAAGAAAGUCAGUGAAUUGGAGGAAGAAAAGCUUCCUGGAUGAAGAAGCUGAGUCUUGAAGGAAAAUGAGGAUUUUUAAGAGGUGAGAAGGGAAUGCACUUUUAGGCACGGGGGUAUAGGGGUAGGAGGUGGUAAUAGCCUAUUCAGGGAAUAGCUUGAAGACUAAUUUGGGUGGAAUAAAGAGGGUCCAUGGAGAUCAAUAUGAAACCAGUCUAGAAGGGAAAAUUAAAGCCAGAUUGUCAAAGGCUUUAAAUACUAGGCUGAUGAAUGUGUAUUUAUUCUAAUGGCAAUAGGGGAGAUUUUUGAGCUUGGGAGUAACCUCAUAAGCCCUGUACCUUAGUAAUGUUAUUUUGGUAGUUGUACAGAGAAGAAGUUAGAGAGGGGAAGAGACUAGAAUCAUGGAGAGCAAUUAUGAGCCUGUUACAGUAGUUUACUUAUGUGAUUAUCUAUGAUAAUCACUUUCAGUAUCAAAUGAGAUAAUAUUUGUAAAACACUUAGCACAAUGCUUGAUAUGUAAGAGGCAUUUAAUAAAUGUUUACUUCUUAGUCCCCAUAGUAGUGGCUAUGUUAAGGAGAGACAGGGGUGAUAGAAGAAAUAUUGUGGAAGUAGAAUCAGUAGGAUUUAGCAGCUGGUGAUGAGGGAAAAUGAAGAGUUGAAAAUGACAUCAAGGUUAAGAAACUGGGUGUCUGAAAGGCUAGUGGAGCCUUCAAGAGAACUGGGGAUAUACGGAAGAGGGACAGGAUUAAGGGUGAAGACAGUUCAGUUUAGUACAAGGUAAGGUUGAGAUAUCAAAGGCACAUCCAGGUGGAGCUAGCCAUCAAGCAGUUGACAACAAGGGAUUAAAAUUCAGAGUUGAGAUUAUUAUUAGUUACAAAAAUUUGAUAGUUUUUACUCUUAUGAAAAGUAUGAGAUCAUCAAUAGAGCAUAAUUAGGAAAGAGAAGAGGGCUCAUCACAGAGCCUUGGGGAACAUUUGGGAGCAAGAGAUGAAUGAUGACUCAGUAAAAGGAGACUAAGCAGACAGAUAGGAGAACCAGCACAGAGCAAUGUUGGUGAAGCCAGAGGAAGAGAGAAUAUCCAGAAAGAGGAGAUGGCCAAAAGUCUCAAAGGUCAGUUAAGAUCCUUGGUCAUGUUGUUGAGAAGAGAAGAGUGGUAGAGGUAGAAACAAAGGGUGGAGAAGUGUGGGAAUGAAGGAGGAGAGAUAGUUUGGCUGGGAAAGGGAAAAAAAUAGGAUAGUUACUUAACUGUCCUGGAUCUAUCUCCAACUUCUGACACUAUUCAUUGCCCCUCCUCUUGGACUCUUCCCUAUUUGUUUUUGGUGACCUUGUUCUCUCCUGGAUCUUCUGAGUUCUCUUCAGUCUCCUUCGCUGAAUUAUCUUCCAACUUUUGUCCCUUAGCAUUGGAGUUUCCCAGGCUUCUGCUUUCUCUCCUUUGAUGCCCCAUUAUGCUUUUUCUUUCUGCCUUCUGUUCCUCUCUCUCUUUUCAUCCUCUUUCCUGGGGACUUCAUCUGGUCCCAUGGGUUCAAUGACCAUUUCUGUGACAGGAUUUGAGGGAGAAUGGCAGAAUAAGUGUUGAGGAAGGGGGAUAUUAGGAGACAUGGGAAGGUAGGAGGCUAUUCAUUAAUCUUGUUGAUAAACUAGGACUAGGAAAGGCAGAAGCACUCAUUGAGAAUGUACCAUGUGGCAAGCACUGUGCUAAGCAUUUCACAAGCAUUAUCUUAUUUGAUCCUCAUAACAAUCCUGGGAGCUAGGUAUUGUUAUCUCAGUUUUACAGCUGAGGAUCCUGAGCUAAACAGAGGUUAAGUGACUUGGUUCAUGGUGGUGUAGUUCUGUCUGGGGCCCACAUUUGAACUCAGAUCUUUCUGAUUCCAGGCCUAGUGCUCUAGCCACUGUAUCAUGAAGCUGCCUCCUAUUUGAUGAAAAAAUACUGUCGGGAAAACUGUAAAGCAGUGUUGUAGAAAUUAGGUUUAAACCAACAUCUGAAUCAUGUUCUAUAAUACAUUCUACAUGAUAUGUGACCUUAAUAUUAAAGAUCAUACUAUAAAAAAUGAGAAGAAAAUCAGAUCAUAUAACUCACAGUUAUGGGAUGGAAAAAUGGGAAGCUAUAAGCAGAAGAAUUUCAGAAUUCCAG
Molecule: long non-coding RNA, 3366 nt
Filed under: Sarcophilus harrisii (Tasmanian devil)
Lineage: Eukaryota; Metazoa; Chordata; Mammalia; Dasyuromorphia; Dasyuridae
Description: lncRNA (ENSSHAG00000030266.1)
Source: RNAcentral